Triticum aestivum (bread wheat) is the source of this 115-nucleotide non-coding RNA. NCBI's taxonomy places the organism in Eukaryota, Viridiplantae, Streptophyta, Magnoliopsida, Poales, Poaceae. The record is from Rfam.
CAAUGACUCUCUCCGUUCCGAAUUACUUGUCGCACGUAUAGAUGUAUCUAGAUGUAUUUUAGUUCUAGAUACAUCCAUUUCAGCGACGAGUAAUUUCGAACGGAGGGAGUAGUUG